UCGGCGCACCGCCCUCUCAGCAGAGGGGAGCGCUGCGCUGCGGGCUCCAGGAGCUCGGCGGAGAGUCGGGAGGCGCGGUUCCCUAGCCCCGGCCUGUCACCGUGACUCAGCAACCCCGGCUGCCUGCUUCGGUGGCGGAGGAGAGUCUCGAACUCACGCAGCCAGGUUCUCAUUCAGUUCUUGUCAGAUCCUGAUACGCACUUGCUUCCUUCUGCUUCUGCAGCAGCUAAUCAUUCUGUCUCAGGAAUUCUGCACGGCUCUUCCCUCUACCUGAACACCUGAGCACUUUGCCCCGUGGAGCCCACUGGAUAGCUUCCUGUCUCCUUCGGGCUUUUGCUCAAAGGUCAAUUAGUAAAUGUUCCCUUGACCAUUCUAUUCAAAACUGCAGCCCCUGAUCCCAGCACCCUUUCCAGUUGCCCUUUUCCGUGCAACCCCUGACCUGCCGGCGGUUUUACCUCUUUGUCACUUAAGUGGCCGCGGCAUCUGGGACGCCACUUGUAACACGGAAGUUCGCAUUUAUGAACGAAUGAAUGAAUGGGGGGGGGGCG
This is a long non-coding RNA of Condylura cristata (star-nosed mole), 548 nucleotides long. RefSeq lists it as uncharacterized. The transcript is spliced from 3 exons. The record is from RefSeq and is a predicted model, not a curated record. Lineage: Eukaryota; Metazoa; Chordata; Mammalia; Eulipotyphla; Talpidae.